ACCACAGAAUGAGGAUUUGGGCGCACAUCACAGUGAAUGCACCAUGAUGCCGUGCUUCGUGCUAGGUUUUGUCCAAAGAUAUUUUAAUCAUUAUCACUCGUCACUCCAAAAUGGUCAGACACAGUUCAGAGCUGUAUUCUUCCUGUGAUUUUUGUUGGUCAACAGAGGGCCAGAGACAGAUCUGUACAUCACUUCAGUCCAACAAACCCUGUUGUGAGAGGCUUCCCUGGCAUUUAAGUGAGAUCCAUCACUGUAACAUGCACCUCCCAAGUGUUAUCACUGAAUUGUUUGCCAGCGUAUGUCUGAAUCAAAGAGAAGGGGCAGAAAGUGUCCUGGCUGAUGUGCAACCUUUUAAUGAUUUUCUUCUGCAAUCACUCACAGAAUGCCAUUUGAGGAGCUGUGAAAGAAUGACUUUUAAAACCCAAGCCAUUCUAUGAUUCUGUGAUUGUAAAACAAGACCUCAGACCUUCAUGAUCAUUUUCUUUACAUCAAAAGCUCAUUCUGAAUCUCAAGUGUAUUAAUUGCUCAAUCUUGUUAAUUCUUCAGUCCAAAAAAAAAAAAAAAAAAAAAAAAAAAAGAAUUAAUCCAAAACAAAAAGAACCCAAAUCUUUGAAAAAUAACCUAACUAGUCAGUGAUCCCAGCUAGUUGGAUUAGUGAUCAGGCUUGAUCACAGGUACUCAAAAUAUUCUCUUCUGUGACUGCUGUGACUAAUGUAUCAGGGCAGAAAUGAGUACUGCCUUGAAUUACUUUCCCACCAAAUUAAAGGCAUUGAGUUGCCAAUAUAUCUCAGGCUUUUCAUUAAAUGCCGCUGAAAUCUGCAUCUUAAAAUCGUGGAGUUUUCUUUUUUUUUUUUUUUUUUUUUCUUGCUCUGAGGUUCAUUUGAAAAGUGAUUUCAGUUGUUUCUGUCAACAUCAAAAACAUUCAGCAAAUUAUACUUACAUCUCGUUUCAAAAAUAGUUUAGUAAGAAUGGAGCUGAGUUUUUUUUCUUCUUUUCUUUUUAUGUCAUUGCUUAUAUUUUGUAAUUGUACAGGACAUUUGUCUAUGAGAUUUGCUAUUUUACUGCCAACACAACUGUUUACUAGGUAUAUGUAUUUGCUUACAGUUUCAACUGUUUGUCAGCACACAUACACUCAAAAGUAUAAGUAUUGUACAAGUAUUUUAUAAUACACAUAUGCACAUAUAUAUUAAAGAAUGCUCA
Molecule: long non-coding RNA, 1200 nt
Filed under: Gallus gallus (chicken)
Lineage: Eukaryota; Metazoa; Chordata; Aves; Galliformes; Phasianidae
Description: lncRNA (ENSGALG00010008740.1)
Source: RNAcentral